Molecule: ribosomal RNA, 381 nt
Filed under: uncultured eukaryote
Lineage: Eukaryota
Description: partial 18S ribosomal RNA
Rfam family: Eukaryotic small subunit ribosomal RNA
Source: RNAcentral
CAAUAGCGUAUAUUAAAGCUGUUGCGGUUAAAAAGCUCGUAGUUGGAUUUCUGUCAAGGACAACUGGUCCGCCCUCCGGGUGAGCACAUAGUUUGGUCUUGGCAUCUUGCUGGAAACUGUUGCUGCACUUGGUUGUGUGGCGCAGCAUCCAGCACUUUCACUUUGAGGAAAUUGGAGUGUUUCAAGCAGGCACAUGCCUUUGGACACAGUAGCAUGGAAUAAUUAGAUUGGGCUUUUGCUCCAAUUUGUCGGUUUCUGGAGCUGAGGUGAGAAUUAAUGGGGAUUGUUGGGGGCAUCCGAAUUUAGCCGUCAGAGGUGAAAUUCUUGGAUCUGCUAAAGACGGACAACUGCGAAAGCGUCUGCCCAGGAUGUUUNCAUUGA